This 494-nucleotide small RNA is filed under the name Histoplasma ohiense. RNAcentral's name for it is "hypothetical lncRNA". The record is from RNAcentral. Lineage: Eukaryota; Fungi; Ascomycota; Eurotiomycetes; Onygenales; Ajellomycetaceae.
AGCAACAGGGGGGUGGAAUUGUGUUCCAGCACUUCAAACAACAAAUAAUCAUCAGGAAUUUGGAUAAUUGGAAGGUGCUCUGAACAUAACCUGAAACAGCUAAAGCGCUAUUUUACAAUGGGUAGGUUGAUGGUUGGUUAUCAAAUACUAACACAAUAUAUUUUCAGCUCUCUAGAUAGCCAACGGACCACUGAAUCUCAAACUAUUAUCUCACAAAGGUCUUGAGGCUUCUUUUUCCUACUGCACUUUGAUUUUUUUGAAACAACUAAUAGCUAUGGUCCUCUAAGACAUCGGUGUGAGAAUUCAUGAACAACUGUUAUUGUAGCGGAAAUCCGCUCCUCCUGUAUAUAUCUGAGGGGAUCAUUGCCAUCUGUAGAGGGUGCUUUAGAGAUAGAUAUAUGUAAGAAUUAUGCUUAACUACUACACUAAAAAGGAGAAUUCUCCUAAUUGGCAGUGUGGGAUCAGCAUAUAACUCGAAUUUUUUAGUCAAGCAG